CUAGACUGAAAUGCUAUCAAUAGCACUAAGUUGUUGGUGUUAUUAGUAUUUUGGUUUUCGGAUGAAAAAAUGUACAAUUAAAAUGAUGUGAGCCCUCUAGUGUCGAGUGAGUUAUUGGUUGAAUAGUAUAAUCUAACGGGUGAAAAUAGUCAAAGAGUUAAAUAUAACGAUGAAAAAUUUAGUAGUACAAAGUGUUUGGUGCUAUCAAUAGUAUCUCAGGUGGACUCCAGAGAGAGAGAGAGAGAGAGACCAGGAUGCUUA
RNAcentral lists this long non-coding RNA (261 nucleotides) under Ananas comosus (pineapple). RNAcentral's name for it is "long non-coding RNA (ACOM_LNC010917)". Lineage: Eukaryota; Viridiplantae; Streptophyta; Magnoliopsida; Poales; Bromeliaceae. The record is from RNAcentral.